This 253-nucleotide ribosomal RNA is filed under the name uncultured bacterium. Its description in RNAcentral is "partial 16S ribosomal RNA". It matches the Rfam family "Bacterial small subunit ribosomal RNA", at positions 524 to 776 of the family's 1533-position model. The record is from RNAcentral.
UACGGGGGGGGCAAGCGUUGUUCGGAAUUACUGGGCGUAAAGGGCCAGUAGGCGGCCAACUAAGUCCGACGUGAAAUCCCAAGGCUUAACCUUGGAACUGCGUCGGAUACUGGAUGGCUUGAAUUCGGGAGAGGGAUGCAGAAUUCCAGGUGUAGCGGUGAAAUGCGUAGAUAUCGAGAGGAACACCUGCGGCGAAGGCGGGUAGCUGGGCCGACACUGACGCUGAGGCGCGAAAGCCAGGGGAGCGAACGGG